GGGCGCGCCUACAAAAUGGCGGCCUGGCGCCUGCGGCUGUGUCGGACAGGGGUUGGCGGCGGGCAGCCGGCUGUCGCGGGGACGUGGCCCCAGCACCCCCUGGGGGGGCGGCCGGACGCUGCUGAGGGAAAUCAGGGUGGAGAGAGAAUAACUAUACCCUCUGUCAGGAAAGAAGUAAUGCUGCACUUCAGUGGCUUCCCCCCUUUACAGGCUAUGUGGCAAGAUGAUGAUGGUGAGAGAAGGAAGUGCUUUUGGGAAGAAGUUCUCAAGUUCCUGGAUGGUCACCAGGGAAGAUAUCAAUCUGAGGCUAGCCACUGUUCAGCAGAGAAAGCAUGAAUUAUACUGGCAGAUGUAACUACAGGAAGUGUCGCUUGAUGUUUGGGGCUGACCAAUGCUAUGAGCUGCUGAAGGCCAGAAACAAGUCUUCUCCUCCACACAAGCAGCUGAGGUCCUUCUCCUGCCUGGCCUUAUAAGUUGGAGUGCAGUGAGCAGCACUCUUCACAGUCUUCUCAGAAGUCCAGUACAGUCAGAAGAAUGGGAAUGGUCUGGUUAAAAAUGAAGAGUUCAAGUGCUGGUGGAGAGCAAAGAGCUUUGUGGAGCUGCUGAGAGGGCUUCCCCUGAAUUUGCAAAUUGGAGAGUCAUCAGUCUCUGGUGAGGAGUGUGCUGGGAUCCCCACCCUGUCAGGCAGGAGAGAUCUGCGCUGGAGCAACUGUCCUGAGCGAUUUAGUAUGACUCUUUUUUCCCAGUUUUUUGGUUGUUACUGAGCUGCAUUGUUUAAAUUUAACUGUAAGAUUAAGGGUUGAGUGCAAAAUGGAGCUGUUUAGCAAGGGAUGCAACAUGUGCUUUCCUUUUAAUGUAAAAUCACAGAAUUCCAAGUUAUCCAUAAAAUCAAAUCCUGUGGAAAAGCAAUUUUGGAGUGGGAAAUUAAUUUUAACAUUGUGUUAUUUCCACUGUAAUAGAAGAUUAACAAAAAAUACCUUUGGGGGGGGGAGAUUGAGACACUUUUCCUGGAAAUGUCAAUAUAGAGUUUUAUGACAUUGCUAUAACACUUUGGUCUCGAUUGCUUCAAAAUAAAAAUUUGGCAACAUUCUACUUUGUAAGUCUC
This 1105-nucleotide long non-coding RNA is filed under the name Anser brachyrhynchus (Pink-footed goose). RNAcentral's name for it is "lncRNA (ENSABRG00000012644.1)". The record is from RNAcentral. Lineage: Eukaryota; Metazoa; Chordata; Aves; Anseriformes; Anatidae.